UUGAUAGAGAAGGGACAGGGAACAGAACCUUCGCCCCCCGCCUGAGCAGCUGGUAGACUAGAUAUCUUCCAAACAUUAUCUCAUUUACUUCCCUGGAGUUACAAAUAGGUAGAUUUCAUGUCCGUUGAGGGGUGAGAAAGCUGAAACUUUGAGACUUAAGAAUCCUGGCCGAGGUCAGCCUCCUCCGAAGCUUCAUCUCUUGCCACCACUUUCUGGUGCACACCUAGGACAGAUUUCAAUCCCUGAGAUCCCAGGAUGAAACCUAUGUUUGCCAAAUACCAGCUACUGUGCCAGAAGAGAUCAUGGAACCAGGUGUGGAAAGCUGCUUGAGAAGAGGAGCCAAAACAUCAUAGUUGAACCGUCCUGGAAUAGAAACUCGCCCUGAAUUCUUUCUUGUGUGAAAUCCAAGAGCCCUCUCUUGGGGUUGGAUCGGGACCCUGUUCCUGUAACAAGUCCACAAUGCCAGAGAAUUAAAGAGAACCACAAAGAGCAAAGGGAAAAACAGCUAAGUGUUUCCUGGCUGAAUUUUAUUUUGCUUUCAGUUUCUGCCAUUUCAGUUCCUGUUAUCGUGCUUUGAGGUGCACUGAACUGCAGCAAACCCAGGGGAUCCAAGGCUACGUUGAAAAGCCUUUGACCACAGUGCAGGGAGCAGAAGACAUUAAUGACGUGAUGUCGACACAGCCCGCACUCAGGAUCCUCCAGGAAAAGAACACAGAGAUAACCCCGGAUCGAUGGUACUUUUUGAAAAUGCUUUAUUGCAAAAGAGUGGCUAGGGUUUUACAAGGGCUAUGAAGAAACAUAUUAAGGUUAAUAAAGCUUUUUAUUGAGUGUUU
This 833-nucleotide long non-coding RNA is filed under the name Homo sapiens (human). RNAcentral describes it as "HSALNT0293991". The record is from RNAcentral. Lineage: Eukaryota; Metazoa; Chordata; Mammalia; Primates; Hominidae.